CGGCAACAGCUCAAAUUUGAAAUCUGGCCCUCGUGGUCCGAGUUGUAAUUUGUAGAGGAUGCUUUUGGUGCGGUGCCUUCCGAGUUCCCUGGAACGGGACGCCAUAGAGGGUGAGAGCCCCGUCUGGUUGGACACCUAUCCUCUGUAAAGCUCCUUCGACGAGUCGAGUAGUUUGGGAAUGCUGCUCUAAAUGGGAGGUAAAUGUCUUCUAAAGCUAAAUACCGGCCAGAGACCGAUAGCGCACAAGUAGAGUGAUCGAAAGAUGAAAAGCACUUUGAAAAGAGGGUUAAAUAGUACGUGAAAUUGUUGAAAGGGAAGCGUUUGUGACCAGACUUGGGCUUGGUUAAUCAUCCAGCGUUCUCGCUGGUGCACUUUGCCAGCCCAGGCCAGCAUCAGUUCGCCGCGGGGGAUAAAAGCUUCGGGAAUGUGGCUCUUCGGAGUGUUAUAGCCCGCUGCACAAUACCCUGUGGCGGACUGAGGUUCGCGCAUCUGCAAGGAUGCUGGCGUAAUGGUCAUCAACGACCCGUCUUGAAACACGGACCAAGGAGUCGUCUUCGUAUGCGAGUGUUCGGGUGUCAAACCCCUACGCGUAAUGAAAGUGAACGGAGGUGGGAGCCUCGGCGCACCAUCGACCGAUCCUGAAGUUUACGGAUGGAUUUGAGUAAGAGCAUACGGGGCCGGACCCGAAAGAAGGUGAACUAUGCCUGUAUAGGGUGAAGCCAGAGGAAACUCUGGUGGAGGCUCGCAGCGGUUCUGACGUGCAAAUCGAUCGUCAAAUAUGGGCAUGGGGGCGAA
Molecule: ribosomal RNA, 795 nt
Filed under: Nectria balsamea
Lineage: Eukaryota; Fungi; Ascomycota; Sordariomycetes; Hypocreales; Nectriaceae
Description: eukaryotic LSU rRNA
Rfam family: Eukaryotic large subunit ribosomal RNA
Source: RNAcentral